This is a long non-coding RNA of Jaculus jaculus (lesser Egyptian jerboa), 1242 nucleotides long. RefSeq lists it as uncharacterized. The transcript has 5 exons. Lineage: Eukaryota; Metazoa; Chordata; Mammalia; Rodentia; Dipodidae. The record is from RefSeq and is a predicted model, not a curated record.
GUGCGGGCUGAGGAUGGGCACGGCUCGUCCUCUGCCACACCCCGGGGUCUCCCGACCCUGCGAGCCCCCUGGGUGAGCGCAGGCCCGGCAGCACCCCACCCCACCCCCUCGGCGAGGCCAGCCCCACGCUCCCGCACUCCCCGCCCGCGUCGCCGUAGGCCUGGAGAUUCCAGCGCAACGUGUUCCUGCUACAAAGACUGUAAGGACUGGAAUAAAGAAACACAUAUAUCCUGCUCUUCGUGAAAAUGUACAUCGUUGUAGAAACCUCAGGGCCACAGAUAGGAAUGGACUGGAGAGAUGGCUUAGCAGUUAAGGCACUUGCCCAAGAAGUCUAAUGACCCAUGUUCAACUCCCCAGAGCCCACCUAAGCCAGACACACAAGGUGAUGCCUGUGCAAGGUUGCAGCUGCUCACAAGGUCCUGUUGUCGCUACCUAAGAAAGAUGUCCACCAGCUGGUCAUUUCAUGUCUCCUCUGCCACCAGCCUGCUCUUAGCCAAGACUCAACAUGUCCUGAGUGAAGGCAGCAGCCUUCUCGACUGACCUCUCUCCUCUCAGCCCUUCUGGUCUGUCUGCUACCCAAAGCAUGCAGAGGGAUCAUCUCAAAAGAGACCAGGAUCCCCAGAUGCAGAGUGGACAUUCUGUAAUCACCUGGAUGCUUAUUGACUGAGCAGACUGCAGGACGCCAGUCACCAGCCGCCAAGAGAAGGACACGAGCCGCUUUCCCACACACUCUCUCUGCACCCUGAAGAGAGAGAACAGUUCCUCUUCCCCCCCACACCCCCUCUUCACAAAGCUACUUUGAAAAUUAAUUAAAUGGUAACGGGAAGAAAGCCCUUUGAUUUUCUAAGAGAAAGCUCAUCAUUAAUCUGAGGUUUUUUUCCUGUGUGAAAGAAUGGUAAGUGAGAAGGGGUGAGCCGAAAGAUGCAGGCGCUGUCAGAGGAGCGCACCUCUCACGAUUCUCCGUUGGCCUUUUCAGGAUAAUUGAUUUACAAGUGAUAGAAGGGAGUGAAGAAAGAAACUUUGGACUUCUUAGCCCAAACGACGGAUCUUCAAGAAUAGCUUCUUUGUAAUCAGUGCUCUAUUAUUUACAGCACAGUGUGCUCAUUAUUGAAUUAUUCUCCCACUUCUAUAAUAGCUGUGUCCACUUUGUGGCCAUUUCCCUGAUAAUUAUCCAUACUAAUGUCAGAGUGCUGGCAAAGACAAAAGAGAAAUGAGAACAAAUACAUUAUCUUUGGCAAAAUA